GCUCAUGCAUGGGGCGCAGUGGUGCAUGCCUGUAGUCUCAGCAACUUGGGAGGCUGAGGCAGAAGGAUUGCUUGAGACCAAGAGUUCUAGGCUAUAGUGUACUAUGCUGAUCAGGUGUAUGUGCUAAGCUCGGCAUCAGUAUGGUGACCUCCCAGGAGUGGGGGGCCACCAGCUUGCCUAAUGAUGGGUGAACUGGUCCAGGUCAGAAAUGGAACAAGUCAAAACUACCAUGCUGAUCAGCAGUGGAAUCAUGCCUGUAAAUAGCCACUGCAAUCCCGCCUGGGCAAAUGUAGUGAGACCCCACCUCU
Molecule: unclassified non-coding RNA, 308 nt
Organism: Cercocebus atys (sooty mangabey)
Lineage: Eukaryota; Metazoa; Chordata; Mammalia; Primates; Cercopithecidae
Rfam family: Metazoan signal recognition particle RNA
About the family: The signal recognition particle (SRP) is a universally conserved ribonucleoprotein. It is involved in the co-translational targeting of proteins to membranes.
Source: Ensembl